Molecule: ribosomal RNA, 494 nt
Filed under: uncultured bacterium
Lineage: Bacteria
Description: partial 16S ribosomal RNA
Rfam family: Bacterial small subunit ribosomal RNA
Source: RNAcentral
GAUGAACGCUGGCGGCGUGCCUAAUACAUGCAAGUCGAGCGAACAGAUGAGGAGCUUGCUCCUCUGACGUUAGCGGCGGACGGGUGAGUAACACGUGGAUAACCUACCUAUAAGACUGGGAUAACUUCGGGAAACCGGAGCUAAUACCGGAUAAUAUAUUGAACCGCAUGGUUCAAUAGUGAAAGACGGUUUUGCUGUCACUUAUAGAUGGAUCCGCGCCGCAUUAGCUAGUUGGUAAGGUAACGGCUUACCAAGGCAACGAUGCGUAGCCGACCUGAGAGGGUGAUCGGCCACACUGGAACUGAGACCCGGUCCAGCCUCCGACGGGGGGCAGCAGUAGGGAAUCUUCCGCAAUGGGCGAAAGCCUGACGGAGCAACGCCGCGUGAGUGAUGAAGGUCUUCGGAUCGUAAAACUCUUUUAUUAGGGAAGAACAAAUGUGUAAGUAACUAUGCACGUCUUGACGGUACCUAAUCAGAAAGCCACGGCUAACUAC